Molecule: long non-coding RNA, 156 nt
Organism: Protopterus annectens (West African lungfish)
Lineage: Eukaryota; Metazoa; Chordata; Ceratodontiformes; Protopteridae
Exons: 3
Source: RefSeq, a predicted model, not a curated record
CAGAUCUGAGUGCAGAAACGACCACUGAAAAUAUUCUACCUAAUGUCAUUGAAGAAACAAGCACAGAAGUCACUGCCAAUGUUAGUCUACCCAGUGUCACUGAAGAUGCAAGUAAAGAAGCAAUUGAUGACGACAUAACUCCUGGUCCUGUGGAAG